CCUACGGGAGGCAGUAGUGAGGACUAUUGGUCAAUGGGCGUAAGCCUGAACCAGCCAAGUCGCGUGAGGGAUGAAGGUUCUAUGGAUCGUAAACCUCUUUUAUAAGGGAAUAAAGUGUGGGACGUGUCCUAUUUUGUAUGUACCUUAUGAAUAAGGAACGGCUGACUCCGUGCCAGCAGCCGCGGUAAUACGGAGGAUCCGAGCGUUAUCCGGAUUUAUUGGGUUUAAAGGGUGCGUAGGCGGCCUUUAAGUCAGCGGUGAAAGUCUGUGGCUCAACCAUAGAAUUGCCGUUGAAACUGGGGGGCUUGAGUAUGUUUGAGGCAGGCGGAAGGCGUGGUGUAGCGGUGAAAUGCGUAGAGAUCACGCAGAACCCCGAUGGCGAAGGCAGCCUGCCAAGCCAUGACUGACGCUGAUGCACGAAAGCGUGGGGAUCAAACAGGAUUAGAUACCCGGGUAGUC
This 459-nucleotide ribosomal RNA is filed under the name uncultured bacterium. RNAcentral describes it as "partial 16S ribosomal RNA". It matches the Rfam family "Bacterial small subunit ribosomal RNA", at positions 338 to 795 of the family's 1533-position model. The record is from RNAcentral.